ACCAUCAUGUGACUUGAAUCAAACUAUUUCAAAAACAAAGAGCUGGCUUAAGAGGAAUAGAAUGAAGGCUGAGAAGCUAACGUGUCCUACUUGACCCAACAACAAUGAUUAAUGACAAAUGAUUACUGUGAGAACCUCAUGGAGUUCCAGAAGAAAAA
This is a long non-coding RNA of Hipposideros armiger (great roundleaf bat), 158 nucleotides long. RefSeq lists it as uncharacterized. NCBI's taxonomy places the organism in Eukaryota, Metazoa, Chordata, Mammalia, Chiroptera, Hipposideridae. The transcript is spliced from 3 exons. The record is from RefSeq and is a predicted model, not a curated record.